CAAUAGCGUAUAUUAAAGUUGUUGCGGUUAAAAAGCUCGUAGUUGGAUUUCUGCCGAGGACGACCGGUCCGCCCUCUGGGUGUGUAUCUGGUUUGGCCUGGGCAUCUUCUUGGAGAACGUAGCUGCACUUGACUGUGUGGUGCGGUGUCCAGGACUUUUACUUUGAGGAAAUUAGAGUGUUUCAAGCAGGCACACGCCUUGAAUACAUUAGCAUGGAAUAAUAAGAUAGGACCUCGGUUCUAUUUUGUUGGUUUCUAGAGCUGAGGUAAUGAUUAAUAGGGAUAGUUGGGGGCAUUCGUAUUUAACUGUCAGAGGUGAAAUUCUUGGAUUUGUUGAAGACGGACUACUGCGAAAGCAUUUGCCAAGGAUGUUUUCAUUGA
Molecule: ribosomal RNA, 380 nt
Filed under: uncultured eukaryote
Lineage: Eukaryota
Description: partial 18S ribosomal RNA
Rfam family: Eukaryotic small subunit ribosomal RNA
Source: RNAcentral